GAUGAACGCUGGCGGCGUGCCUAAUACAUGCAAGUCGAGCGAACAGACGAGGAGCUUGCUCCUCUGACGUUAGCGGCGGACGGGUGAGUAACACGUGGAUAACCUACCUAUAAGACUGGGAUAACUUCGGGAAACCGGAGCUAAUACCGGAUAAUAUAUUGAUCCGCAUGGUUCAAUAGUGAAAGACGGUUUUGCUGUCACUUAUAGAUGGAUCCGCGCCGCAUUAGCUAGUUGGUAAGGUAACGGCUUACCAAGGCGACGAUGCGUAGCCGACCUGAGAGGGUGGUCGGCCACACUGGAGCUGGGACGCGGUCCAGGCUCCUACGGGAGGCAGCAGUAGGGAAUCGUCCGCAAUGGGCGAAAGCUUGACGGAGCAACGCCGCGUGAGUGAUGAAGGUCUUCGGAUCGUAAAACUCUGUUAUUAGGGAAGAACAAAUGUGUAAGUAACUAUGCACGUCUUGACGGUACCUAAUCAGAAAGCCACGGCUAACUACGUG
This 497-nucleotide ribosomal RNA is filed under the name uncultured bacterium. RNAcentral's name for it is "partial 16S ribosomal RNA". It matches the Rfam family "Bacterial small subunit ribosomal RNA", at positions 28 to 507 of the family's 1533-position model. The record is from RNAcentral.